RNAcentral lists this ribosomal RNA (465 nucleotides) under uncultured bacterium. RNAcentral's name for it is "partial 16S ribosomal RNA". It matches the Rfam family "Bacterial small subunit ribosomal RNA", at positions 28 to 507 of the family's 1533-position model. The record is from RNAcentral.
GACGAACGCUGGCGGCGUGCUUAACACAUGCAAGUCGUACGGUAAGGCCCUUUCGGGGGUUCACGAGUGGCGAACGGGUGCGUAACACGAAAGUAACCUUCCCACACCUUUGGGAUAACGCUAGGAAACUGGUGCUAAUACUGGAAAUGUGCUCCUGCUGCAUGGGGGGGGUUGGAAAGCUCCGGGGGGUGUGGGUGGACUCGCGGCCUAUCAGCUUGUUGGUGGGGUAGUGGCCUACCAAGGCGGCGACGGGUAGCCGGCCUGAGGGGGUGACCGGCCACAUUGGGUCUUAGAGACGGCCCCGACACCGACUGUAGGCAGAAGGGGGGAAUAUUGAACAAUCGGCGCCAGCCUGAUGCAGCAACGCCGUGGGCGGUAAGACUGCCUUCUGGUUGUAAACCGCUUUCAGCAGGGACGGAGCAUUUUGUGACGGUACCUGCAGAAGAAGCACCGGCUAACUACGUG